GAAGGUCUAAACGUAAAAUAGUUUGAUAAUAAUUUUGUUACAAGCAAGCGUUGAACAACAUGCUAUUUUAAAUUUUGAGGCUUACCUUCACUUUAUCUUUACUCUAACUUGUUUUUCCAUGAUCAGGAGGUUACUUAUUUUUAGUAACUUCGCUGGUGUAACCAGUGUUAAAUUUAAAAGCAAAACUUAGUUACAUUAUUUGUGCUAAGAUUAAAGAAAUACAAGAAUAUUUUAUUGAUAUAAAUUUUUUUUGAAAGGUAUUCUAAUAUUUUAUUUUAUUGAUAAAUGUAUAAUUUAUUACAAUACAGGAACAAUGAAAGGUUAAAAUCAGUAUAAACGUGUAUAUUGGCAACAAAAUCAAACAAGUAAAACUUAUAUGGACUACUUUCAUCAAUUUAUUGGAAAGAGAUUGAUCAUGCAGUUGUUAGAUGCUUUUGAUUGGUGUCGAUGGUAGUGGUGCACGCCUUCGAUAAUCUGCUAGAGCCCACAGUGGGUAUAUAUUUCUGUAUGCUGCAUAAUGUAACAUGCAAUUCUUCAAGAAAACUCCUGUGAUUUCUUGCCAAUGAAUUGACAAUAAGAAAGUUGCAAUAAGCUGGAAAAGUUACAUUACAGGAUAUUAUUAUUACAUUUUCAUGAUGUUGCUUUAUUAUUUCAUAUGAAAAAAAGAUUAGGAAGACUACAAGAUGCUUAGUUUACCUGUUGGGGAAAAUCUCCAUUUUCCAACUGAGAAUUGAUCAAAAGCUUUGCUCCCCUGUGGAGAGGUUGGGUUACCUUAUUUGAGCAGGAAAGAUAGCUUUCUCCCCAUCCACCUUCUUCUCUUUGUGCAUUUAGCCGAAACUUGACAGCUUUUCGAAUGGCUGGACAAUCGUUGUAGCUCUUCCCGGCUGCUGCUAGUCCUCCAAGGGCAAACCAAGUGCCAUAUGUGAAACACACGCCCCAAUUUCCAUACCUGCAGAAAUUUAUAUCAAUGCUUUAUAGACUUGCAAAAAGUGUGCAAUGUUUGUACAUAAAAGGUCAAAAAUGGGAAGAAAAGUAUACCAUGAUCCAUCAGGCUUCUGAACAUCUUCGAGGUAAUUUACAGCCUUCACAAUAAAGCUUUCUAUUUCUUUC
Molecule: long non-coding RNA, 1110 nt
Organism: Olea europaea var. sylvestris
Lineage: Eukaryota; Viridiplantae; Streptophyta; Magnoliopsida; Lamiales; Oleaceae
Exons: 2
Source: RefSeq, a predicted model, not a curated record